Long non-coding RNA from Armigeres subalbatus, 1123 nucleotides. RefSeq lists it as uncharacterized. The transcript has 5 exons. NCBI's taxonomy places the organism in Eukaryota, Metazoa, Arthropoda, Insecta, Diptera, Culicidae. The record is from RefSeq and is a predicted model, not a curated record.
AUCUGCGUGGUGGUGAAGGUCAUCAGUUCCCUAUUUGGGACGUUCGCCUCUCGCCUUACGGACAUUAUUUUCUCAGUUGCUUGCAUGGCAAAACCGCCCGACUGUGGUCCACGAAUUCCUACCAGCCACUGAGAAUCUUUGUGGGGCACCUAUCCGACGUUGAUGUGUGCAUUUUCCAUCCGAAAUCAAUCUACGUAGCUACCGGGCACCGGCGUUUUCCAUUUGCGGUCGCUAUCUGGCCUCAGGUUCGGUUGAUUGUCGUGUCUGGUUUGGGACCUAGCCAAUGAUCAUCUAAUCGCGGCUCUCUGCGGUCACUCGGCGUCGCACUAUGCUUCAGCUGUAAUGGAACCUUGCUGGCUACCGGCGGACUUUUCCAAAUUGUGCGAAGAUAUCAGCGGAAAGCAACCCGUUCCUGUGAUAUUGUGGUACCCGGCUGAUGCUGAUGGAGAUAGGAAGAAGAUUUUUGACAGGAAGGCUUAAACAAUCGUUCGGCAGAAGAAUCAGCAAGCGCAUCCAUAGAACCGACACGACCCAGAAUUAAUGUUUGAGGACCAUAUAAAAGACUAUUUGAACCAUCAAAAGACUUCAAGGCGAACGUUGCCGAAGUACUCGGAGAGAAACUUUUGAAGACGGCACUCGUAGAGACGGUGAUAAAAAAGCCCACCUAGGGGCUGAGAAUGACCUCUUGACUACAGGAGCGAAAAAAGCAAUGCGACAGACAGCGUCAGUGCAUCGAAGUGGAAAAGUCUCGUCAUGAAGCGGAUGAACGACGGCUGGCUGAGGAAGGAGAAUAAAACUGCUGGGCAAACAGAAAGAAUACACAUCCAUUCCGGUUACGCUGUUUGGAACCUGAGAAACCACGAUUCUGGCAACGAGCUGACUGACGAAAAAACAGUGCCGGAAGUUGGAUACACCCUAGAUACACAGGAAAGUUUCAGUUUAGUUAGGAGUUUUGUUGUUGAAUGGGAAGGAUCUCAGGUCGUUGGACAGAGGCCUUCCUACACGUCUUAAAAUGCAAUGUAUGAUGCAACCACACAUUGGCACAAUUUCAGUUGCACAAAACAGUUCUUAACGGUGCCAACGCAAGGAUUUUGCACUGGCUGAAGAUGACUUGUAGCAUCUC